CCUUUGCUUUUUAUAUUCCCCUCUAAAGAAGAAGAAAUAUAUGAUUAAUUUAUAAUGGUACAUUAUUCUGUCAUUGUAUAUGGACUAUAAGGGACGAAGUAACACCAUGUAAAGUGAUUUUUGUUUGUCGUGAUUUAAACAUGAUAAAAGUGUUUCUUUCCCCUAAAUCUUAAGAGCCUCAUUGAACAGGAUAAAAACUACCUCAGACCACAAACAAUCUGAAACUUUUCAAGUACUUUCUAUAUGCUCAUGUGCAUUUUCUUGUUAGCAUAGUUUUGUACUUGAACAGAUAAUCAG
This 297-nucleotide long non-coding RNA is filed under the name Mytilus galloprovincialis (Mediterranean mussel). The record is from RNAcentral. Lineage: Eukaryota; Metazoa; Mollusca; Bivalvia; Mytilida; Mytilidae.